Vicia faba (fava bean) is the source of this 246-nucleotide non-coding RNA. NCBI's taxonomy places the organism in Eukaryota, Viridiplantae, Streptophyta, Magnoliopsida, Fabales, Fabaceae. The record is from the annotation of a GenBank genome assembly.
AUGUUCCGUAGUUGCUCUUUAGAACUGUCUGACAUUUGGUGUAUGGUUUGUUGUGCAAUUUUUAGUGACAUUGGUUGUGCAUACUCCGUUAAAAUGUUCGAUUUUUGUUCGUUAAGCUUCUUAGAACUGCUAGCAUUUUUCGCAUUUAUUGAUCUGUCUGAUACGAUACAUUACGCUAUAUCAAAAUUUGUAAAAUUUGCUCCAUAUGAUUGUGUGAUGGGUUCUGAUCCUACUGAAUUUGUGUGA